CGGAGCGUAGCACAGUGGUAGCGCUGCGGAAGCAUCCGCAAGUCCCCGGUUCGAUUCCGGGCGCUCCGA
RNAcentral lists this transfer RNA (69 nucleotides) under Lachnospiraceae bacterium. RNAcentral's name for it is "tRNA-OTHER". It matches the Rfam family "tRNA". Rfam says of the family: Transfer RNA (tRNA) molecules are approximately 80 nucleotides in length. Their secondary structure includes four short double-helical elements and three loops (D, anti-codon, and T loops). Further hydrogen bonds mediate the characteristic L-shaped molecular structure. tRNAs have two regions of fundamental functional importance: the anti-codon, which is responsible for specific mRNA codon recognition, and the 3' end, to which the tRNAs corresponding amino acid is attached (by aminoacyl-tRNA synthetases). tRNAs cope with the degeneracy of the genetic code in two manners: having more than one tRNA (with a specific anti-codon) for a particular amino acid; and 'wobble' base-pairing, i.e. permitting non-standard base-pairing at the 3rd anti-codon position. Lineage: Bacteria; Bacillati; Bacillota; Clostridia; Lachnospirales; Lachnospiraceae. The record is from RNAcentral.